CCGUCGCUUUAGUCCACUCACCCAUCUCUCC
RNAcentral lists this transfer RNA (31 nucleotides) under Sabatia capitata. Its description in RNAcentral is "partial tRNA-Ser". Lineage: Eukaryota; Viridiplantae; Streptophyta; Magnoliopsida; Gentianales; Gentianaceae. The record is from RNAcentral.